RNAcentral lists this ribosomal RNA (407 nucleotides) under uncultured bacterium. RNAcentral's name for it is "bacterial SSU rRNA". It matches the Rfam family "Bacterial small subunit ribosomal RNA", at positions 39 to 441 of the family's 1533-position model. The record is from RNAcentral.
CUGCGCAGGCCUAACACAUGCAAGUCGAACGGCAGCGGGGGAUAGCUUGCUAUCCUGCCGGCGAGUGGCGGACGGGUGAGUAAUGCAUGGGGAGCUGCCCAAUCGAGGGGGAUAACAACUGGAAACGGUUGCUAAUACCGCAUACGCCCUGCGGGGGAAAGGUGGGGACCUUCGGGCCUACCGCGAUUGGAUGCACCCAUGUGGGAUUAGCUAGUUGGUGAGGUAACGGCUCACCAAGGCGACGAUCUCUAGCUGGUCUGAGAGGAUGACCAGCCACACUGGAACUGAGACACGGUCCAGACUCCUACGGGAGGCAGCAGUGGGGAAUAUUGCACAAUGGGGGAAACCCUGAUGCAGCCAUGCCGCGUGUGUGAAGAAGGCCUUCGGGUUGUAAAGCACUUUCAGUG